GCCGCGGCCAUCGGGCGGGCGCUGAUCGCCGCGGAAUCCGGCGGGAAGCUCGGCGCGCUGGGCUGGCCCGCGUUCGGCGUCGCGCCGCUGUUC
This 93-nucleotide transfer RNA is filed under the name Amycolatopsis deserti. RNAcentral describes it as "tRNA-Phe". The record is from RNAcentral. Lineage: Bacteria; Bacillati; Actinomycetota; Actinomycetes; Pseudonocardiales; Pseudonocardiaceae.